GCGCCAGUAGCUCAGUUGGAUAGAGCAGUUGGCUACGAACCAGCGUGCCGGGGGUUCGAAUCCUCUCUGGCGCACCA
RNAcentral lists this transfer RNA (77 nucleotides) under Clostridium luticellarii. RNAcentral describes it as "tRNA-Arg". It matches the Rfam family "tRNA". Rfam says of the family: Transfer RNA (tRNA) molecules are approximately 80 nucleotides in length. Their secondary structure includes four short double-helical elements and three loops (D, anti-codon, and T loops). The record is from RNAcentral. Lineage: Bacteria; Bacillati; Bacillota; Clostridia; Eubacteriales; Clostridiaceae.